UACGGGGGGGGUAAGCGUUGUUCGGAAUUACUGGGCGUAAAGCGCGCGUAGGCGGCUUUGCAAGUCGGGUGUGAAAUCCCCAGGCUUGACCUGGGAACUGCAUUCGAGACUGCAUUGCUAGAGUAUGGGAGAGGGAAGUGGAAUUUCCGGUGUAGCGGUGAAAUGCGUAGAUAUCGGAAGGAACAUCAGUGGCGAAAGCGACUUCCUGGACCAAUACUGACGCUCAUGUGCGAAAGCGUGGGGAGCAAACAGG
This 253-nucleotide ribosomal RNA is filed under the name uncultured bacterium. RNAcentral describes it as "partial 16S ribosomal RNA". It matches the Rfam family "Bacterial small subunit ribosomal RNA", at positions 524 to 776 of the family's 1533-position model. The record is from RNAcentral.